Molecule: long non-coding RNA, 213 nt
Filed under: Medicago truncatula (barrel medic)
Lineage: Eukaryota; Viridiplantae; Streptophyta; Magnoliopsida; Fabales; Fabaceae
Description: long non-coding RNA (MTRU_LNC006860)
Source: RNAcentral
UUUGAAGGAGUAGUGUGACAUUCUUUUAUAACCAUUACAUCAAUUCAAAAAUAUGUGCAAAUAAAAAAAAUGAAUUUCAACUAUUUUUUUAUUGUCCUUGCAUCAUUAUUGAAUGAAAUUCCUUGUGAUUUUUGCAGUUGCAUAGCAUUCUCUGUUCUGGAUUAGUUUCAAAGCGUGCUAAUAUCAAUCUUUUGAAGGGACACAAUUUGUAGA